CCUCUAGAAGUUUGGGCGCACGCGCAUUCACUAUCAGGGCCAGAGAGUCAUCUCUUGGACGAGAGGUCUAGAUAUCUUGAUUAACCUGUACUGGCAGGGGAAUAGAGCAUUGCAAAUGAUGCUGUCAACGAGGAAUGCCUAGUGGCACAAAGUCAUCAGCUUGUGCGAUUACGUCCCUGCCCUUGUACACACUACCCGUCGAUAAUAACCGAUUGAAUGGCUCAGUGAGGCCUUCGGACUGGCUUAGGGAGGUUGGCAACGACCACCCCGAGCCGGAAAGUUGGUCAAACUUGGUCAUUUAGAGGAAGUAAAAGUCGUAACAAGGUUUCCGUAGGUGAACCUGCGGAAGGAUCAUUA
This 357-nucleotide non-coding RNA is filed under the name Uncinocarpus reesii 1704. RNAcentral describes it as "Eukaryotic small subunit ribosomal RNA". It matches the Rfam family "Eukaryotic small subunit ribosomal RNA", at positions 1470 to 1831 of the family's 1831-position model. The record is from Rfam by way of RNAcentral. Lineage: Eukaryota; Fungi; Ascomycota; Eurotiomycetes; Onygenales; Onygenaceae.